UUUGGCUAAACUCCCUUGAGGUGAGCUUUGCGCUUCGCCUUAAUCUGUGACACAACCAUUGUAAUGCAGAAAUUAUAGUUAUCCAUAACACAUUGUGUAAACCCAGCCAACCGCAGGCAGUCCUCAACUUACAACGGUUCAUCUUAGUGAC
Non-coding RNA from Pseudonaja textilis, 151 nucleotides. The record is from RefSeq and is a predicted model, not a curated record. NCBI's taxonomy places the organism in Eukaryota, Metazoa, Chordata, Lepidosauria, Squamata, Elapidae.